This is an RNA transcript of Ricinus communis (castor bean), 3403 nucleotides long. It is a transcript of the gene named dynamin-2A, with no coding region annotated. The record is from RefSeq and is a predicted model, not a curated record. Lineage: Eukaryota; Viridiplantae; Streptophyta; Magnoliopsida; Malpighiales; Euphorbiaceae. The transcript is spliced from 23 exons.
CUAUGUAGUUUAACAAAGAAGUCUGUGCGUAAGGGAAGGCUAUUUGGUUCCAUCAGACACCAAACGUUAAAAAAAAAAAAAAAAAAAAAGCAUCCAUUUCAAAUAAAUUUGGUUGCGUCAUUAUUACUUACAAUAUUACUUUCGUUUCUCAAAAUUUUUAAAUUUUUUUCUGUUCUUUUUUGAUUCCGAUUUGAAUCUCAUUUCUCCAGAUCCGAUCUUAGGGUUUCUCUUCUUCUCCUUCUGGAUCCUUACUGAAUUCUCUUUUGCUUUUGAAUCUGCAAAUCAAUUUAGACAAUUGAGAAAAAAAAAUGGAAGCGAUCGAAGAAUUAACGCAGCUAUCGGAAUCAAUGAGGCAAGCGAGCGCGUUGCUUGCCGAUGAAGAUAUUGACGAAACGACGACGUCUUCUUCUUCCUCUUCCUCCUCGUCUAGACGAUCGUCUACUUUUCUGAAUGUUGUUGCUCUUGGCAAUGUUGGUGCCGGUAAAUCUGCUGUCUUGAAUAGUCUUAUUGGACAUCCUGUUUUGCCAACCGGUGAGAAUGGUGCAACUCGGGCUCCAAUAAGUAUUGAUUUGAACAGAGAUGGUUCGUUAAGUACCAAGUCAAUCAUUUUACAGAUUGACAAUAAAUCUCAGCAGGUUUCUGCAAGUGCUCUUCGGCAUUCUCUACAGGAUAGGCUAAGCAAGGGUUCGUCAGGAAGGAGUCGUGAUGAAAUUUAUUUGAAACUUCGAACUAGCACAGCUCCACCAUUAAAAUUGAUCGACCUGCCAGGAUUAGAUCAAAGAAUCAUGGAUGACUCACUGAUCAGUGAAUAUGUUGAACACAAUGAUGCUAUUUUGCUGGUUGUAGUACCUGCUGUUCAGGCACCGGAAAUCUCAUCAUGCAAAGCCCUUAGAAUUGCAAAGGAAUAUGAUGCAGAAAGUACUAGAACAAUUGGUGUUAUUAGUAAGAUUGAUCAAGCAGCUACAGAGUCAAAAGCUCUUGCUGCUGUUCAGGCACUUCUCCUGAACCAGGGACCGCCAAAAACAUCUGAUAUUCCAUGGGUUGCAUUGAUUGGCCAAUCUGUAGCUAUAGCUUCCGCACAGUCAGGAAGUGCUUCAUCUGAGAAUUCUUUAGAGACAGCUUGGCGUGCUGAGAGUGAAAGUCUUAAAUCCAUACUGACUGGAGCCCCCCAAAGCAAGCUUGGGAGAGUAGCUUUGGUGGAAGCUCUGGCUGGUCAGAUUCGUAAUCGGAUGAAACUCAGGCUUCCCAAUCUUCUUUCUGGGCUUCAGGGGAAAUCUCAAAUAGUUCAGGAUGAACUAGUGAGACUUGGUGAGCAAAUGGUUAGUAGUUCUGAAGGGACAAGAGCUUUAGCUUUGGAGCUCUGCCGUGAGUUUGAGGAUAAAUUCCUUCAGCAUCUUGCUGGUGGUGAAGGUAAUGGCUGGAAGGUUGUUGCAAGUUUUGAGGGAAAUUUUCCAAACAGAAUCAAGCAGCUUCCUUUAGACAGGCAUUUUGACAUGAACAAUGUCAAAAGGAUUGUCCUAGAAGCGGAUGGUUACCAACCUUAUCUUAUAUCACCGGAGAAAGGGUUAAGGUCCUUAAUAAAAGGUGUCCUAGAGCUGGCAAAGGAGCCUGCACGUCUAUGUGUGGAUGAGGUGCAUCGUGUAUUGGUGGAUCUAGUGUCUGCUUCGGCAAAUUCCACUCCUGGUCUUGGAAGAUAUGCUCCCUUUAAGAGAGAGCUUGUGGCAAUUGCAACUGGUGCACUUGAUGGAUUUAAGAACGAAGCUAAGAAAAUGGUGGUUGCUCUAGUCGAUAUGGAGCGUGCAUUUGUUCCACCCCAACAUUUCAUCCGAUUGGUGCAGAGGCGAAUGGAUAGGCAGCGCCGUGAGGAAGAGAUAAAAAACAAAUCCUCUAAGAAGGCAAAUGAAGCAGAGCAAUCCAUACUAAAUAGGGCAACUAGUCCUCAGACAGGAGCCCCACCAUCUGGAGGAAGCUUGAAAUCAAUGAAGGAGAAAUCUGAUAAAGAUUCACAAGAGGGACCAGCCUUGAAAACAGCUGGGGCUGGUGGUGAGAUAACAGCAGGAUUUUUGUUGAAGAAAAGUGGAAAGACAAAUGGUUGGAGUAGACGGUGGUUUGUAUUGAAUGAAAAAAGUGGCAAGCUUGGUUACACCAAAAAGCAGGAAGAAAGACAUUUUCGUGGUGUCAUUUCUUUGGAGGAAUGCAAUAUUGAGGAACCUUCUGAUGAUGAUGAGACCUCAUCAAAAAGUUCCAAGGAUAAAAAGUCAAAUGGACCAGAUAAAGGAGCCAAUCUUGUUUUUAAGAUAAGUAGUAGGGUUCCGUAUAAGACUGUCUUAAAAGCUCACAGCACUGUUGUGUUAAAAGCUGAGAGUAUGGCCGAUAAGGUUGAGUGGCUAAACAAGCUGAGAAGUGUCAUCCAGUCUAAAGGAGGUCAAGUGGUGGGUGAAUCUGGUCUUCCCAUGCGUCACAGUCAUUCUGAUGGUUCGCUUGAUACAAUGAGUAGAAGACCUGCAGACCCUGAAGAAGAGCUCCGGUGGAUGUCCCAAGAAGUGCGUGGUUAUGUUGAAGCUGUUCUUAACAGCCUUGCUGCCAAUGUCCCAAAGGCAGUUGUUCUUUGCCAAGUAGAGAAAGCCAGGGAAGACAUGCUUAAUCAGCUUUAUAGUUCUAUUAGUGCCCAAAGCACUGCUAGGAUUGAAGAGCUGCUCCAGGAGGACCAAAAUGUAAAGCGUAAGAGAGAGCUUUAUCAGAAGCAGUCCUCUCUUCUUUCAAAACUGGUAAGGCAACUUAGCAUCCAUGAUAAUCGAGCAGCAGCUGCAUCAAGCUGGUCCAAUGAUAGUGCAGCAGAAAGUAGCCCAAGAACAAGUGGAGCAUCAUCAGGGGAUGACUGGAGGACUGCAUUUGAUGCUGGAGCUAAUGGACGCGCCGACCCAUAUAGGUCUCACAGUCGGCGGAACAGUGAUCCAUCUCAAAAUGGUGAUGCAAACAGCAGUCGCCGCACACCAACUCGGAUGCCACCAGCACCACCACCAUCCGGCUCAUCCUAUAGAUAUUAGAUGAAGUUUGAUACCGAUUGAUCAUUCAUGUAUUCUUGUUGGGUGGUUCGUUGAUCCCACUCGAGAUGGAGCAUUUCUCGAGCUCACAUCAUGUUAAAUUAGGCUUGCAGGAGUGUUAUAGGAACAUUUGUUUCAAGCUCAGAGCCCCCUGCAGAAGGCCUAUUUUAUUCUUAAUGAGUAAAAUUAAAAGAGGUGGACAGAACUGAUAGCAUCUACAACGUUCAUAAUCCAUUUGAUCAGACUUUUUUUUUUAAAUGGCACACUUGUUGAGAAUAGUUUACUAAUUAGGUAUGUGCAAAAGAUGUUCUUGUAAAUAUAUACAAUGUGAAAGCAGAAAUUCACAGAUCACAUGCAAG